CUGGACUCCCUAAAUGCUGUUUUGCGAGGGCCAGGAAGUGACAGGAUGACCCCUCUUGCUUUGCCUGUUAACUUUCAUGCAUUCCAUGAAAACUGCCUUGCUGUGAUCUCUUGCAGAAGUUUCCUCCCCGGAGACAACGCGAGGGAAAAGCCAUGGUAUCCCCAGAACUUGGCUCAGCCAGGAUGCACAAAUAAGAGUUGUUGUAUAAAUGAUUUGACUCAGGGGUGACCCAUGCAAGAGUGUUUCACAGGUAAGCACCUGUCUAUAUGUCUCAGUGUGACCUCUGACCUGACCAGACCGUUGCUUCCAGUUCUAAAUCCUGGGAGACGCUGAUUUCUUCCAGGUGAGCUGUUGCCUUUCCCACUAACUACCAACCAAGCUGGUAUAACAAACUCAUAAAUCUCCUGAAGGCUGCAAUUACCUACAUCCUUCCUGUAGGAUAUCCUUUGUCCUGAUCACUAAGAACCUUGGAGAAUCUGAACACAACCAAAUUUGAUAUAGAAUUACAUCACAAAAUUUCUGGCAUCUCUCCCCACCUUGGUGAUCGGCGUGUUCUCACUUUUCACCACAAGAUGGCGCAGGAAGGCCUGGUGUCAGGCCCAGUCUGGUGUCCCGGGAGGCAGCUUUUGUCCAAGUAACUGUGUGCUCUCCAAUGCAGACUGUGGUUUUGAUGCAGAGAAGGCUGGAGGAAGAUACUGACUUUGCUCCUGGCUAGCCCUGAAGGUGGCAGAAUAUUCUUUGGGAAAGGAGUACAAAAUUCCAUCCGUGGUCUAUAUUUAACAGGAACUCCAAGAUCACACUGAACCUGGGCUGGUUGCAAGGCUGGCCUCACUGCAGUAACAAUGCUGGGUGAUUGGAGAAUUGCAAUUAUGGUGUUACUUAAAUUAUGACUUGUGCCUUGAAUUAUUUUCCUGUCACACCCCAGGCCUGCGAGAGUGGCUGGAAUGAAAAUGGGAGUCCUGGGGUGUCUGUUGGUGUGAGACUUGCAUGCAGGACUGCCAGAGUUGGGAAGGGGAGGGGAAAGCAACAUCAAAUGCCAAGGAAUCAAGAAUGCAGUCUUCCAGGCGGUCAUAAAGGUGUUUGUUUUAAUGUCACCAUCAAAAAGUAUUCUCUGAAUAGUCAGUAGAAAGUAGCUAACACCCCAUCCCUGACUUUCUCUCAUUUCCCUCAUUUGAACCCCCCUACACUUACAACAGGAGGCAGCAAACCUUUAAAAUAGUAAACCAAAGGCAAUAUCACAUCCUUGGAGAGAUUGCAGAAAUUAGUGCCACCAUGAAAGACUUGAAAGAUGCAAGAAUGGUGAUUCCCAAAACACCCUUAUUUAAGUCUCCUGUUUGGCCUUGGCAAAAAAACAGAUGGAUUCUGGAAGAUGACAGUGGAUUAUCAUGAAUCCAACUAAAGUGGUGACUCCGACUGCAGUAAUGGGGCAGAUGUUUUUGCAUGGCUUGAGCACAGAAACGCAUCCCCUGGUACUGGUUUGUAGCUAUUGAUCUGGACAAAUGCCAUUUUCUCUAUGUCUGUCAAUGAGACCAACCAGAAGCAGUUUGCUUUCAGAUGGCAAUACCUGCAAUGCACCUUCACUGUCUAAGAGGCAUAUCAAUCCUUCAGCCCAAUGUCAUAAUUUAGUCUGCAUGGAUUAUGAUUACCAUUUCCUUCUACAAUAUGUCACACUGGCGCAUUACAAUGAUAGCAUUAUGAUUAUGGAUCUAGUGGGCAAGACAUAGCAACUACUCCAGACUUACUGGUAAGACAUUUACUUGUAUGUGUCAGGAGGCGGGAAAUAAAUCAGACAAAAAUUCAAGGGACGGGUCAGCCGAGUGGCGCGUUGGUUAAGAGCUCACUUG
Hipposideros armiger (great roundleaf bat) is the source of this 1844-nucleotide long non-coding RNA. RefSeq lists it as uncharacterized. The transcript has 4 exons. The record is from RefSeq and is a predicted model, not a curated record. NCBI's taxonomy places the organism in Eukaryota, Metazoa, Chordata, Mammalia, Chiroptera, Hipposideridae.